UACGGAGGGGGUUAGCGUUGUUCGGAAUUACUGGGCGUAAAGCGCGCGUAGGCGGACCAGAAAGUUGGGGGUGAAAUCCCGGGGCUCAACCCCGGAACGGCCUCCAAAACUCCUGGUCUUGAGUUCGAGAGAGGUGAGUGGAAUUCCGAGUGUAGAGGUGAAAUUCGUAGAUAUUCGGAGGAACACCAGUGGCGAAGGCAGCUCACUGGCUCGAUACUGACGCUGAGGUGCGAAAGUGAGGGGAGCAAACAGG
This 253-nucleotide ribosomal RNA is filed under the name uncultured bacterium. Its description in RNAcentral is "partial 16S ribosomal RNA". It matches the Rfam family "Bacterial small subunit ribosomal RNA", at positions 524 to 776 of the family's 1533-position model. The record is from RNAcentral.